UUUAGCCUACGGGGGGCAGCAGUGGGGGAUAUUGCACAAUGGGGGGAACCCUGAUGCAGCGACGCCGCGUGGGUGAAGAAGUAUUUCGGUAUGUAAAGCCCUAUCGGCAGGGAAGAAUUUAGACGGUACCUGACUAAGAAGCCCCGGCUAACUACGUGCCAGCAGCCGCGGUAAUACGUAGGGGGCAAGCGUUAUCCGGAUUCACUGGGUGUAAAGGGAGCGUAGACGGCCAUGCAAGCCUGGAGUGAAAGCCCGGGGCCCAACCCCGGGACGGCUCUGGGAACUGUGGG
RNAcentral lists this ribosomal RNA (290 nucleotides) under uncultured bacterium. RNAcentral describes it as "partial 16S ribosomal RNA". It matches the Rfam family "Bacterial small subunit ribosomal RNA", at positions 333 to 639 of the family's 1533-position model. The record is from RNAcentral.